CUCUAGCAUUCCCAGUAUUAGAGGCACUGCCUGCCCGGUGACACUAGUUAAACGGCCGCGGUAUCCUGACCGUGCAAAGGUAGCAUAAUCAUUUGUUCCCUAAAUAGGGACUUGUAUGAAUGGCCACACGAGGGCUUUACUGUCUCUUACUUCCAAUCCGUGAAAUUGACCUUCCCGUGAAGAGGCGGGAAUACAACAAUAAGACGAGAAGACCCUAUGGAGCUUUAAUUAACCGACCCAAAGAGACCCAUCAAUUUCAACCGACAGGAACAACAAACCUCUGUAUGGGCCGACAAUUUAGGUUGGGGUGACCUCGGAGAACAGAACAACCUCCGAGUGAUUUAAAUCAAGACUAACCAGUCGAAAGUAUUACAUCACUUAUUGAUCCAAAAGUUUGAUCAACGGAACAAGUUACCCUAGGGAUAACAGCGCAAUCCUAUUUC
RNAcentral lists this ribosomal RNA (443 nucleotides) under Puma concolor (puma). Its description in RNAcentral is "partial 16S ribosomal RNA". It matches the Rfam family "Bacterial large subunit ribosomal RNA", at positions 1832 to 2494 of the family's 2925-position model. The record is from RNAcentral. Lineage: Eukaryota; Metazoa; Chordata; Mammalia; Carnivora; Felidae.